AAACAGUCCCCUAUGUUUUGAUUCUUUGACAGUUUUAGACCCCCAGUCCAUUAGUGAGGUGCCACGUGGCCCCCUAAAUAAUACACGUGGCACCUCACUAAUGGACUGGGGGUCCAAAACUGCCAAAGAAUCAAAACAUAGGGGGCUGUUU
Molecule: microRNA precursor, 151 nt
Filed under: Medicago truncatula (barrel medic)
Lineage: Eukaryota; Viridiplantae; Streptophyta; Magnoliopsida; Fabales; Fabaceae
Description: MIR2619 microRNA precursor family
Rfam family: MIR2619 microRNA precursor family
Source: Rfam by way of RNAcentral